AUGCCUAUAUCACCGAUCCCAAUGGAUAAUAACAAGAAAAUUUGAAGAUCGAAGAUUCUAUUAAAAAUUAAGAUCUUCAUGUGGUAUUUUCAAAAGGGAGUGGUGCUAACCAAAGAUAACCUUGUCCGUCACAACUGGUAAGGAAGCAAGAAGUGUAGCUUUUGUACUGAUGACGAGACAAUCAGACACCUCUUUUUCCAGUGCAAGUUUGCGCGUUCUACGUGA
RNAcentral lists this ribosomal RNA (225 nucleotides) under Triticum aestivum (bread wheat). Its description in RNAcentral is "partial small subunit ribosomal RNA". The record is from RNAcentral. Lineage: Eukaryota; Viridiplantae; Streptophyta; Magnoliopsida; Poales; Poaceae.